RNAcentral lists this non-coding RNA (30 nucleotides) under Rattus norvegicus (Norway rat). The record is from RNAcentral. Lineage: Eukaryota; Metazoa; Chordata; Mammalia; Rodentia; Muridae.
UCCCUUCAGAGAGUCAAGCACAAUUCCUAC